GCGGAUGUGGCGGAAUUGGUAGACGCGCUAGAUUUAGGUUCUAGUGUCUCACGGCGUAAGAGUUCGAGUCUCUUCAUCCGCA
This 82-nucleotide transfer RNA is filed under the name Xenococcus sp. PCC 7305. It matches the Rfam family "tRNA". From Rfam's summary of the family: Transfer RNA (tRNA) molecules are approximately 80 nucleotides in length. Their secondary structure includes four short double-helical elements and three loops (D, anti-codon, and T loops). Lineage: Bacteria; Bacillati; Cyanobacteriota; Cyanophyceae; Pleurocapsales; Xenococcaceae. The record is from Rfam by way of RNAcentral. RNAcentral also lists the same sequence under 1 other name.